This 64-nucleotide transfer RNA is filed under the name Pseudunio marocanus. RNAcentral describes it as "tRNA-Ser". The record is from RNAcentral. Lineage: Eukaryota; Metazoa; Mollusca; Bivalvia; Unionida; Margaritiferidae.
AGAAGACCCGGUAAAUACUCUGCCUUGAACCCAGAAAGAGGGUGUUCGAUUCACCCAUCUUCUU